CGCCUGUUUAACAAAAACAUGUCUUUUUGAAUUUUUUUUAAAGUCUAGCCUGCCCCCUGAAUAAUUUUAAAUGGCCGCAGUAUACUAACUGUGCAAAGGUAGCAUAAUCAUUAGUCUUUUAAUUGAAGGCUGGUAUGAAUGGUUGGACGAGAUAUUAACUGUUUCAUAAAAAUUUAUAAUAGAUUUUUAUUUUUUAGUCAAAAAGCUAAAAUAUAUUUAAAAAACGAGAAGCCCCUAUAAAACUUUAUAUUUAGGUUAUUAUAAUUUUAUAGAUUUUUUUUGUUAUAAUAAUUGAUAAUAUUUUAUUGGGGUGAUAUUAAAAUUUGAUAAACUUUUAAUUGUUUAAAUCAUUAAUUUAUGAAUAAUUGAUCCGUUAUUAGCGAUUAAAAAAAUAAGUUACUUUAGGGAUAACAGCGUAAUUUUUUUGGAGAGUUCAUAUCGAUAAAAAAGAUUGCGACCUCGAUGUUGGAUUAAGGUAUAAUUUUAGGUGUAGCCGCUUAAAUUUUAAGUCUGUUCGACUUUUAAAUUCUUACGUGAUCUGAGUUCAGACCGG
Molecule: ribosomal RNA, 553 nt
Filed under: Chrysomya megacephala (oriental latrine fly)
Lineage: Eukaryota; Metazoa; Arthropoda; Insecta; Diptera; Calliphoridae
Description: partial 16S ribosomal RNA
Rfam family: Bacterial large subunit ribosomal RNA
Source: RNAcentral